GAUCAUGGCUCAGGACGAAUGCUGGCGGCGUGCUUAACACAUGCAAGUCGAGCGAUGAAGCUUCUUCGGAAGUGGAUUAGCGGCGGACGGGUGAGUAACACGUGGGUAACCUGCCUCAUAGAGGGGAAUAGCCUUCCGAAAGGAAGAUUAAUACCGCAUAAGAUUGUAAUAUUGCAUGAUAUAGCAAUUAAAGGAGUAAUCCGCUAUGAGAUGGACCCGCGUCGCAUUAGCUAGUUGGUGAGGUAACGGCUCACCAAGGCGACGAUGCGUAGCCGACCUGAGAGGGUGAUCGGCCACAUUGGGACUGAGACACGGCCCAGACUCCUACGGGAGGCAGCAGUGGGGAAUAUUGCACAAUGGGGGAAACCCUGAUGCAGCCAACGCCGCGUGAGUGAUGACGGUCUUCGGAUUGUAAAGCUCUGUCUUCAGGGACGAUAAUGACGGUACCUGAGGAGGAAGCCACGGCUAACUACGUGCCAGCAGCGGC
Molecule: ribosomal RNA, 487 nt
Filed under: uncultured bacterium
Lineage: Bacteria
Description: bacterial SSU rRNA
Rfam family: Bacterial small subunit ribosomal RNA
Source: RNAcentral